GAUAAACGCUGGCGGCGUGCAUAACACAUGCAAGUCGAACGAACUUUAGCAAGGAGCUUGCUCCAUGCAAAAGAGAGUGGCGGACGGGUGAGUAACGCGUGGGUAACCAACCCUAAAGAGGGGGACAACCAUGAGAAAUCGUGGCUAAUACCGCAUAAUCUUGUCAUUUCGCAUGAAGAGACAAGAAAAGGAGUAAUCCGCUUUAGGACGGACCCGCGUCUGAUUAGCUAGUUGGAGAGGUAAAGGCUCACCAAGGCGACGAUCAGUAGCCGAUCUGAGAGGAUGGACGGCCACAUUGGGACUGAGACACGGCCCAAACUCCUACGGGAGGCAGCAGUGGGGAAUAUUGCGCAAUGGGGGAAACCCUGACGCAGCAACGCCGCGUGAAGGAAGAAGGCUUUCGGGUCGUAAACUUCAGACGCUAGUGAAGAAAAAAAUGACGGUAGCUAGGCCGAAGCUCCGGCUAACUACGUGCCAGCAGCCGCGGUAAUAC
This 493-nucleotide ribosomal RNA is filed under the name uncultured bacterium. RNAcentral describes it as "bacterial SSU rRNA". It matches the Rfam family "Bacterial small subunit ribosomal RNA", at positions 28 to 526 of the family's 1533-position model. The record is from RNAcentral.